The submitters of this non-coding RNA (79 nucleotides) gave its source as unclassified sequences. The record is from Rfam.
AAGUUUCUGAGGACGGAACUGGUAGCCGUAGCCCAUCAUAAGAUGUAGGAGAUGUGGGAGUACCAACCCACCUAAACUU